UCGAGAAUCAUUCGCAAUGCGCGAAAGCGUGACGAUGCGACGCUGCGUGCAGGAUGAAGGCCUUCGGGUCGUAAACUGCUGUCGGAAGGGAUUAACGAUUUUCUAAUUAAUAGUUAGGAGAAGUGACAGUACCUUCAAAGGAAGCCACGGCUAACUCUGUGCCAGCAGCCGCGGUAAUACAGAGGUGGCGAGCGUUGUUCGGAAUUACUGGGCGUAAAGGGUGCGUAGGCGGCAAAUCAAGCCGGAUGUGAAAUCCCACCUUUCAUGGGUGGAACUGCAUUCGGAACUGGUUAGCUAGAGUAUGGGAGAGGAGAGUGGAAUUCAUGGUGUAGCGGUGAAAUGCGUAGAUA
RNAcentral lists this ribosomal RNA (350 nucleotides) under uncultured bacterium. Its description in RNAcentral is "bacterial SSU rRNA". It matches the Rfam family "Bacterial small subunit ribosomal RNA", at positions 355 to 696 of the family's 1533-position model. The record is from RNAcentral.